UGCCACAGUACUUCAUAGAAUCAUUUCUAUAGUAAACAUCCACAACUGUACUUCUCAAAGAAGCUACAGACUCCAACCUGGCUGAUGAGCUGAACCGCGGUCCCCAAGAGUGAUGCCGAUAUGGUGGCAGCGCAAGCUGUUGCUGGUGAUGAUCUCGCCCUGCUCGAGCGUCUGGCUUCGGCCGGCUCUUUCAGGUGGGCGCUGUCGGUCGUCUGACAGGU
Molecule: small nucleolar RNA, 221 nt
Rfam family: Fungal small nucleolar RNA U3
About the family: Small nucleolar RNAs (snoRNAs) are involved in the processing and modification of rRNA in the nucleolus. There are two main classes of snoRNAs: the box C/D class, and the box H/ACA class.
Source: Rfam